RNAcentral lists this small RNA (535 nucleotides) under Arabidopsis thaliana (thale cress). RNAcentral's name for it is "putative long intergenic non-coding RNA". Lineage: Eukaryota; Viridiplantae; Streptophyta; Magnoliopsida; Brassicales; Brassicaceae. The record is from RNAcentral.
AAAAAAAAAAAAAAGACACCGAAGAAGACGUGGAGGAGUUCACGCACAGAUUUGGUGAUCAAGAGGACACCGAAAGGAAAUAUCCAAGUGAUAACAAGCCAAGGAGAGAAGAUCAUCAAAGAGGUGUUUUCUAGUUCCGGUGUAGCGAGAAAUUGGUUGAGUGUUUCUCAAAUGAUUUCCAAUGGCUAAGGGCUCUUAUUUGAAGACAAUAGAUGUCUCAUCAACGAUCCUCAAGGAAGAAGGAGACUUGAUAUUAAGAGGAAGCAGAAGAUUUUUCCAUUGAGAUGGAGAAAGUCGGACACAAGUGUUUUACUUGCAAGGGAGAAGUAAACAAGGUCAAGGGUUGAAGAGAAGUUUGGAAGAAGACAGAAACUCAAUUAAGGGGGACUGUUGGUCGAUAAUUGAGUUCUGUCUAUAUUAAAGUUUCAUAUAUUAAGUGGUUACUUGUCAAGGGACACAAGUACGAAGAGACACAACUCAUUAUGUGUUGUGUCUAUUUGUUUUCUAUAUAAACCCCUUGUAUCGUCAUGUAAAU